This 506-nucleotide ribosomal RNA is filed under the name uncultured bacterium. RNAcentral's name for it is "partial 16S ribosomal RNA". It matches the Rfam family "Bacterial small subunit ribosomal RNA", at positions 30 to 523 of the family's 1533-position model. The record is from RNAcentral.
AUUGAACGCUGGCGGCAGGCCUAACACAUGCAAGUCGAGCGGUAACACAGAGGAGCUUGCUCCUUGGGUGACGAGCGGCGGACGGGUGAGUAAUGCCCGGGGAUCUGCCCGAUAGAGGGGGAUAACUACGGGAAACUGUAGCUAAUACCGCAUAAUGUCUACGGACCAAAGUGGGGGCUCUUCGGACCUCAUGCUAUCGGAUGAACCCGGGUGGGAUUAGCUAGUUGGUGAGGUAAUGGCUCACCAAGGCGACGAUCUCUAACUGGUUUGAGAGAAUGACCAGUCACACUGGAACUGAGACACGGUCCAGACUCGUACGGGAGGCAGCAGUGGGGAAUAUUGCACAAUGGGCGCAAGCCUGAUGCAGCCAUGCCGCGUGUGUGAAGAAGGCCUUCGGGUUGUAAAGCACUUUCAGCGGGGAGGAAGGGUCACUAGUUAAUGCCUAGUGGCAUUGACGUUACUCGCAGAAGAAGCACCGGCUAACUCCGUGCCAGCCGCCGCGGUAA